Molecule: ribosomal RNA, 440 nt
Filed under: uncultured bacterium
Lineage: Bacteria
Description: partial 16S ribosomal RNA
Rfam family: Bacterial small subunit ribosomal RNA
Source: RNAcentral
CCUACGGGUGGCAGCAGUGGGGAAUAUUGCACAAUGGGGGGAACUCUGAUGCAGCAAUGCCGCGUGGGUGAAGAAGCACUCCGGUGCGUAAAGCCCUGUCAGCAGGGAAGAAAAUGACCAUACCUGACCAAGAAGCCCCGGCUAACUACGUGCCAGCCGCCGCGGUAAUACGUAGGGGACCAGCGUUAUCCGGGUUUAUUGGGUGUAAAGGGAGCGCAGGCGGUAUAGCAAGUCAGAUGUGAAAACCCAGGGCCCAACCCAGGGACUGCAUCUAAAAAUACUAUACUGGAGUGCAGGAGAGGUAAGUGGAAUUCCUAGUGUAGCGGUGAAAUGCGUAGAUAUUAGGAGGAACACCAGUGGCGAAGGCGGCUUACUGGACUGUAACUGACGUUGAGGCACGAAAGCGUGGGGAGCAAACAGGAUUAGAUACCCGAGUAGUC